Molecule: long non-coding RNA, 989 nt
Organism: Zingiber officinale
Lineage: Eukaryota; Viridiplantae; Streptophyta; Magnoliopsida; Zingiberales; Zingiberaceae
Exons: 2
Source: RefSeq, a predicted model, not a curated record
CCCAUAUCCGUCCUCUGCUCGCGCGUGUUGACAUCAUCUAGGCCACAACAGGUGAGCAGUAGGUGGGGAGCCUCAGCAAGUGAGCAGGGAGGGGCCUCGCACUCGCCUGCGAACAACAGUACGACCUCAUGCUGGCCUCCCUACUCGGUCUUCGUACAGGGAAGACGACGGUUACAUGGACUGAUGCUCCUUUGUUCGAUUCAUCGUCGGCAACCUGGCGUUGAAGGUUCUUGUGCCGUCAACACCCCCUGCCUCUCCCUGCUUUGAACAGGCAAGUUCCCUCACUAGAUUGUCAACAUCCCUAUCCUCGCUUCUGGCGAAACCUCCAUCGCAGACAUCUCGAUUCCCGUCGCCGCCUCGUUUCACCUCUCCAAGGAUGAUCUUGAUCGAAUCACUAGAAAGUAUUCGCUUUUCGCCUAUUCCACCAGCCGCGCGAAGCUGAAGGUUUCCAUCUACACCGGUGUAUUAGGGAGUUCCUUCUAGUGGAGCCCUAGGAAUCUCAUCGGCAAGUUCAAGAUACGGCUGGAUUUGAAGGGUUUUGUAAAGGACGGUGGGGCGAUGGAGUUCCACAGCAAGUGGGUUGCCAUCGGCAAGAAGAGGGGCAUGGAUCAACAACAUCUAAUGAUGAAGGCCGAGCCUGAUGCUCGAUUUGUGUUCGAGUUCGACGGUGUAACCUGCAGGUUUUGAUGGCAACAUGAAGCAACAUGUAUUCACCUACAAAUUUAGUUGUCACAAUGCCGCUGUCUUUUUUAUCCUCUUUCUUCUCCUAUAUUCUGUCUUCCUUUCUGUAGGGACUUGUUAUUCAUCCUUGAUUUUGUUUUCCUUUCUCUUCCUUGACUUUGAAGGAUAGAGAUUAUUUUCCUUUCUCUCUCCACGCCUGAGAGUAAACAUAGCAAUAAGGUGAAUCAUAUGUUCAUUGCUGACCAUCAAAAAGUAAUGUACAAAUUUUUGAUGGGUUUAAAAUCUAUCUACUUAAGUUGUUAUGAUCU